CAGUGCAAUCGAUUUGACACUUUGACAGUAAGUUGUAAACAUAGGGGUCAUCCCGAACAAUGAACUCUUUCAUUAAAUACAGAAACAUCAAUGAUAUUAUUAUUAAAAUUAAGUAAAACCUCAUUAAAAUAUGUCGAGACACCUCUAUGGGCCCGCCAUGUUCGUAACGGCGGGGCUUCUCGUGUAAAUAUAUAGAUAUCUAUGCGUGUGUAUGCUGGGCGUGGGAUGCCGCAUUUAAAUCUAUUUUUGGAGUUAAAGUGAAGUGAAAAGUGUAAGAACUGUAGUGUAAGUGCAAGUGCUAGUGUCCUGAAGUGUUUUAGAGCCGUUAGUGAUAAGUUACAGUGUAGUUCUAACUGAAAAUAUGAGAUAGUAAUUAAGUGCACUUGUGCGUGAGUGUCAGCGCGAUGCGUGCGGCGGGCGCGCGGCGCUCCGUCGAGACCGGCAGCGACACCAGCUACUAUGAGAGGGAGACGUGGGACGAGUGGGAGAGUCGUUCCUCCCUCAGUCAGUUAGAAGAGGUUUGUAUUUAUUACUAUAUCUAUAGUUAUACGUGUUAAAGUUCCAAAGUUCUCGAGUGCUGUGUGCCUUUCAGAAAUAAAUAUCGAAGCUUCCGUGUUUCGGAAGUUACGUAAAACGGCUCGACAUAAAAAACACUUACAGGUUACUUACUCCUGAAAUCCAGACUUACAACAAGCUCACUUGGAGCAACGAGAUGCUUGUGCUGCGCGUCAAUCGAACUCGUGACACUCCGCGCAAAGCGGAACUCAUUUGUCGACUUUUCGCAUCCGGCUAUCCGAGUUCAGUGAAAAUUAUUCAAUGUACUGUAAUUUGAAAAACGGUUCUGGAAUCGGGUAUUACUAAGGCUCCGCUCUCUGUCCGUCAUGAUCACGGUAGAUAUUGAAAUUCUCGCAGAUGAUGUAUUUCUGUUGCCGAUAUAACAACCAAUACUUAA
Trichoplusia ni (cabbage looper) is the source of this 952-nucleotide long non-coding RNA. RefSeq lists it as uncharacterized. The record is from RefSeq and is a predicted model, not a curated record. NCBI's taxonomy places the organism in Eukaryota, Metazoa, Arthropoda, Insecta, Lepidoptera, Noctuidae. The transcript is spliced from 3 exons.